This 253-nucleotide ribosomal RNA is filed under the name uncultured bacterium. Its description in RNAcentral is "partial 16S ribosomal RNA". It matches the Rfam family "Bacterial small subunit ribosomal RNA", at positions 524 to 776 of the family's 1533-position model. The record is from RNAcentral.
UACGUAGGGUGCAAGCGUUGUCCGGAAUUAUUGGGCGUAAAGAGCUCGUAGGCGGCUUGUCACGUCGACUGUGAAAACCCGGGGCUCAACUCCGGGCCUGCAGUCGAUACGGGCUGGCUUGAGUGCGGUAGGGGAGACUGAAAUUCCUGGUGUAGCGGUGAAAUGCGCAGAUAUCAGGAGGAACACCGGUGGCGAAGGCGGGUCUCUGGGACGUGACUGACGCUGAGACGCGAAAGCGUGGGGAGCGAACAGG